UCAGGACACCAGAGGACCAUAGAGCAAAUUACUUCUACCAGAGUGCUAAAUGCUCCCCUGCUGCCCUGGGA
Molecule: microRNA precursor, 71 nt
Filed under: Dipodomys ordii (Ord's kangaroo rat)
Lineage: Eukaryota; Metazoa; Chordata; Mammalia; Rodentia; Heteromyidae
Description: mir-7177 microRNA precursor family
Rfam family: mir-7177 microRNA precursor family
Source: Rfam by way of RNAcentral